AUUUAUAUAGUUUAAAAAACAUUACAUUUUCAAUGUAAAAUUAGGUCACACCUUAUAAAUA
Molecule: transfer RNA, 61 nt
Filed under: Scolytinae sp. BMNH 1274712
Lineage: Eukaryota; Metazoa; Arthropoda; Insecta; Coleoptera; Curculionidae
Description: tRNA-Glu
Rfam family: tRNA
About the family: Transfer RNA (tRNA) molecules are approximately 80 nucleotides in length. Their secondary structure includes four short double-helical elements and three loops (D, anti-codon, and T loops). Further hydrogen bonds mediate the characteristic L-shaped molecular structure. tRNAs have two regions of fundamental functional importance: the anti-codon, which is responsible for specific mRNA codon recognition, and the 3' end, to which the tRNAs corresponding amino acid is attached (by aminoacyl-tRNA synthetases). tRNAs cope with the degeneracy of the genetic code in two manners: having more than one tRNA (with a specific anti-codon) for a particular amino acid; and 'wobble' base-pairing, i.e. permitting non-standard base-pairing at the 3rd anti-codon position.
Source: RNAcentral